ACAAACGCUGGCGGCAUGCCUAACACAUGCAAGUCGAACGGACAGAACAGGGAAGCUUUUCGGAGUGGAACUGGAAAGUUAGUGGCGGAUGGGUGAGUAACGCGUGGACAACCUACCUUGUAAAGGGGAAUAACCUCGAGAAAUCGAAGCUAAUACCCCAUAAUAACCUUGCUUCGCAUGAAGUAAGGAGGAAAGGCGGCCUUAGCGCUGUCGAUACAAGAUGGGUCCGCGUCUGAUUAGCUAGUUGGUGAGGUAAAGGCUCACCAAGGCGACGAUCAGUAGCCGGCCUGAGAGGGUGACCGGCCACAUUGGGACUGAGACACGGCCCAAACUCCUACGGGAGGCAGCAGUGGGGAAUCUUCCGCAAUGGGCGAAAGCCUGACGGAGCAAUGCCGCGUGAGUGAAGAAGGCCUUCGGGUUGUAAAACUCUGUCCUUAUCGAAGAGAGAGUGUUGUAGUAACUGACAAUACUAGGACGGUAGAUGAGGAGGAAGCCCCGGCUAACUAUGUG
Molecule: ribosomal RNA, 510 nt
Filed under: uncultured bacterium
Lineage: Bacteria
Description: partial 16S ribosomal RNA
Rfam family: Bacterial small subunit ribosomal RNA
Source: RNAcentral